This 744-nucleotide ribosomal RNA is filed under the name cyanobacterium cLA-1. RNAcentral's name for it is "bacterial SSU rRNA". It matches the Rfam family "Bacterial small subunit ribosomal RNA", at positions 21 to 809 of the family's 1533-position model. Lineage: Bacteria; Bacillati; Cyanobacteriota. The record is from RNAcentral.
GGCUCAGGAUGAACGCUGGCGGUAUGCUUAACACAUGCAAGUCGAACGAAAUCUUCGGAUUUAGUGGCGGACGGGUGAGUAACGCGUGAGAAUCUGGCUUCAGGUCUGGGACAACCACUGGAAACGGUGGCUAAUACCGGAUGUGCCGAGAGGUGAAAGGUUAACUGCCUGAAGAUGAGCUCGCGUCUGAUUAGCUAGUUGGAAGUGUAAUGGACUCCCAAGGCGACGAUCAGUAGCUGGUCUGAGAGGACGAUCAGCCACACUGGGACUGAGACACGGCCCAGACUCCUACGGGAGGCAGCAGUGGGGAAUUUUCCGCAAUGGGCGAAAGCCUGACGGAGCAAUACCGCGUGAGGGAGGAAGGCUCUUGGGUCGUAAACCUCUUUUCUCAGGGAAGAACACAAUGACGGUACCUGAGGAAUAAGCAUCGGCUAACUCCGUGCCAGCAGCCGCGGUAAUACGGAGGAUGCAAGCGUUAUCCGGAAUGAUUGGGCGUAAAGCGUCCGCAGGUGGCGAUGUAAGUCUGCUGUUAAAGAGUCUAGCUCAACUAGAUAAGAGCAGUGGAAACUACAUAGCUAGAGUACGUUCGGGGCAGAGGGAAUUCCUGGUGUAGCGGUGAAAUGCGUAGAGAUCAGGAAGAACACCAGUGGCGAAGGCGCUCUGCUAGGCCGUAACUGACACUGAGGGACGAAAGCUAGGGGAGCGAAUGGGAUUAGAUACCCCAGUAGUCCUAGCCGUAAACGA